GGUGAUUAGUGACAGAGUGAGUGAGGGGGUGACUAGUGACAGAGUGAGGGAGCGGGUGACACAGUGACAGAGUUAGGGAGGGAGUGACUAGUGACAGAGAGAGGGAUGGGGUGACUAGUGACAGUCACCCCCUCCCUCACUCUGUCACCAGUCAUCCCCUCACUCUGUCACUAGUCACCUCUUCCCUCCCUCACUUUGCCACUAGUCAUCUCUUUCCUCCCUCACUCUGCCACUAGUCACCCAUUCCCUAACUCUGUCACUAGUCACCCCCUCUCCAUCCCUCUGUCACUAGUCACCCACUCCCUCACUCUGUCACCAGUCACCCCCACUCACUGUGUCUUCCCCUCACUCUAACAA
Non-coding RNA from Pelobates cultripes (western spadefoot toad), 357 nucleotides. Lineage: Eukaryota; Metazoa; Chordata; Amphibia; Anura; Pelobatidae. The record is from the annotation of a GenBank genome assembly.